UUAGGUUCGUCGAGCCGUGGUGCACGGGAAUCCGGUGGAAAACCGGAGCGGCCCUCGCCACUGUGAUUCGGGAAGCGCUGCGUCAUUCGUCGCCGGUUCGGCGGCAGCCACUGGAACGCGAGUUCCGGGAAGGCCGACGCAUCCGCGGUAGUACCCGUCAGCCAGGAGACCGGCCACGGCACCGAACGACCC
This 192-nucleotide non-coding RNA is filed under the name Saccharomonospora sp. RNAcentral also lists the same sequence under 1 other name. Lineage: Bacteria; Bacillati; Actinomycetota; Actinomycetes; Pseudonocardiales; Pseudonocardiaceae. The record is from RNAcentral.